RNAcentral lists this ribosomal RNA (474 nucleotides) under uncultured bacterium. RNAcentral's name for it is "bacterial SSU rRNA". It matches the Rfam family "Bacterial small subunit ribosomal RNA", at positions 8 to 526 of the family's 1533-position model. The record is from RNAcentral.
AGAGUUUGAUCAUGGCUCAGAACGAACGCUGGCGGCAGGCCUAACACAUGCAAGUCGAACGGAUGUAGCAAUACAUUAGUGGCGCACGGGUGCGUAACACGUGGGAAUAUACCCUUGAGUAAGGAAUAAUGUCUGGAAACGGACACUAAUACCUUAUAAUGACUUCGGUCCAAAGAUUUAUCGCUCAAGGAUUAGCCCGCGUCAGAUUAGCUAGUUGGUGAGGUAAUGGCUCACCAAGGCGACGAUCUGUAGGGGGUCUGAGAGGAUGAUCCCCCACACUGGUACUGAGACACGGACCAGACUCCUACGGGAGGCAGCAGUGAGGAAUAUUGGACAAUGGAGGAAACUCUGAUCCAGCCAUGCCGCGUGAGUGAAGAAGGCCUUCGGGUUGUAAAGCUCUUUUAGAUGUGAAGAUUAUGACGGUAGCAUCAGAAAAAGCCCCGGCUAAAUUCGUGCCAGCCGCCGCGGUAAUAC